GAUGGGGCCGCGACCGAUCAGGUAGUUGGUGAGGCAACGGCUCACCAAGCCUUUAACCGGUGCGGGCCGUGGGAGCGGGAGCCCGGAGAUGGGCACUGAGACAAGGGCCCAGGCCCUACGGGGCGCAGCAGUCGCGAAAACUUUGCAAUACACGAAAGUGUGACAGGGCUAUCCCGAGUGCCAUCCGCUGAGGAAGGCUUUUACCCAGUCUAGAAAGCUGGGAGAAUAAGGAGAGGGCAAGUCUGGUGUCAGCCGCCGCGGUAAUACCAGCUCUCCGAGUGGUGUGGAUGUUUAUUGGGCCUAAAGCAUCCGUAGCUGGCCAAGUUAGUCCCCUGUUAAAUCCACCGAAUUAAUCGUUGGAGUGCGGGGGAUACUGCUCGGCUAGGGGACGAGAGAGGCCGACGGUAUUUCCGGGGUAGGGGUGAAAUCCUAUAAUCCCGGGAGGACCACCAGUGGCGAAGGCUGUCGGCUAGAACGCGCCCGACGGUGAGGGAUGAAAGCUGGGG
This 506-nucleotide ribosomal RNA is filed under the name uncultured archaeon. RNAcentral's name for it is "bacterial SSU rRNA". It matches the Rfam family "Archaeal small subunit ribosomal RNA", at positions 208 to 716 of the family's 1478-position model. The record is from RNAcentral.